CUGAAACGCGUCGAGCCUUCCUCAUCGCCUCCGACUCUCCAAUCCCUCUUCGACUUGGUUUAUGAGAUUAUUGAUGACAACAGCAAUAGCUAUUGAAGAUGUCCGUAGAGAGGUUGUGUAAAGGUGGAGAACUACUGGAUAAAAUUUUGUCCAGGGGUGGAAGAUACACAGAAGAAGAUGCUAAAGUUAUUGUUGUGAAAAUUUUAAGUGUUAUU
Molecule: long non-coding RNA, 215 nt
Filed under: Rosa chinensis
Lineage: Eukaryota; Viridiplantae; Streptophyta; Magnoliopsida; Rosales; Rosaceae
Description: sRNA RchiOBHm_Chr1g0351041
Source: RNAcentral